UAAUAGUGUAUAUUAAAGUUGUUGCAGUCAAAAAGCUCGUAGUUGAAUGUUGGUGUCGAACGAGCGGUCAGCUUCGGCUGUACUGCUCUCUCGACUCCUUCCUUCUGUGGACUACGUCGCACUUUACUGUGUGGCGCUAGGACGCAGAUCGUUUACUGUGAAAAAAUUAGAGUGUUCAAAGCAGGCCGUACGCUUGAAUACAUUAGCAUGGAAUAAUGGAAUAGGACGUCGGGCCUAUUUUGUUGGUUCUAGGACCGUCGUAAUGAUUAAUAGGGACAGUUGGGGCCGUUUAUAUUCCGUAGUCAGAGGUGAAAUUCUUGGAUUUACGGAAGAUAAACUACUGCGAAAGCAUUCGGCAAGGAUGUUUUCGUUA
Molecule: ribosomal RNA, 373 nt
Filed under: uncultured eukaryote
Lineage: Eukaryota
Description: partial 18S ribosomal RNA
Rfam family: Eukaryotic small subunit ribosomal RNA
Source: RNAcentral